UUUCUGGGUGUAAUAAUACAUUCUGUGUAAUGUUUUUUAUUUAUCUAAAAAAUAAAUAUCUGUAUACGUGUACGUGCGCGUUUUUAACAGAUAAAUGGGAAAUAAUAAGUUGUCCGAGAUAAAUGCUUUCGGUUCGUAAUAUUAUAAAAUACGGUCUAUAAAUUAAUAAUUAUUGAGUUCAAUAUCAAUCGCACGUCCUUUUCGAAUUUUAGACGCGUACCGUAAUAAUAUCCGGUAUCUACGCUUUAAAAACGCUCAUUUUUCUUCCUUUUUUUUUUUUUUACACAGAAAUAACGUGGCCAAUUAUAUAUUUUCGUAUUUAUCUAUAUAAAUAACUCACGUUUCUUUUAUUAUCAUCUAGAUAACGUUAUUAUUAUAGCGAUUAUCCAUUAUUUUAUAGAUUCUGAGUGGAGCGAGGAAUGUAUUGGUUUCAUAAUGAUGUUUAUACAUAUGUUUUCUUUUAACAACUUUUCUAAGAGAAAUUUCGCUCCGAUUUUCAAGUGUAACACUUUUCUAAAGGGAAAUCUGACCUGGGCGCUACUUUGAAGAAGUCGAGUUACCGUAAUAAAUGGGAAAAACUGGGAAAUUUA
Cinara cedri is the source of this 590-nucleotide non-coding RNA. Lineage: Eukaryota; Metazoa; Arthropoda; Insecta; Hemiptera; Aphididae. The record is from the annotation of a GenBank genome assembly.